GUGAGGAAUAUUGCGCAAUGGAGGCAACUCUGACGCAGCCAUGCCGCGUGCAGGAAGAAGGCGCUACGCGUUGUAAACUGCUUUUAACCGGGAAGAAACCCCAGGACGUGUCCUGGGUUGACGGUACCGGAGGAAUAAGCACCGGCUAACUUCGUGCCAGCAGCCGCGGUAAUACGAAGGGUGCAAGCGUUAUCCGGAUUCAUUGGGUUUAAAGGGUGAGUAGGCGGAGCGUUAAGUCAGUGGUGAAAUCCUGCAGCUUAACUGUAGACUUGCCAUUGAUACUGGCGCUCUUGAGUGCGCUUGAAGUGGGCGGAAUGUGUCGUGUAGCGGUGAAAUGCCUAGAUAUGGCACAGAACACCAAUUGCGAAGGCAGCUCACUAAGGCGAUACUGACGCUGAGGCACGAAAGCGUGGGGAUCGAACAGGAUUAGAAACCCGAGUAGUCC
This 445-nucleotide ribosomal RNA is filed under the name uncultured bacterium. Its description in RNAcentral is "partial 16S ribosomal RNA". It matches the Rfam family "Bacterial small subunit ribosomal RNA", at positions 354 to 796 of the family's 1533-position model. The record is from RNAcentral.